CAGGACGAACGCUGGCGGCGUGCCUAACACAUGCAAGUCGAACGAAGCAUAUUUAUAUGCUUAGUGGCGGACGGGUGAGUAACACGUGAGCAAUCUGCCCUAUACAGAGGAAUAGCCUCGGGAAACCGGGAUUAAAACCACAUAAUACUUAAGUAUCGCAUGGUACAUAAGUCAAAUUGAUUAAGAGGUAUAGGAUGAGCUCGCGUCUGAUUAGCUAGUUGGUGGGGUAAAGGCCUACCAAGGCGACGAUCAGUAGCCGGCCUGAGAGGGUGAACGGCCACACUGGAACUGAGACACGGUCCAGACUCCUACGGGAGGCAGCAGUGGGGAAUAUUGCACAAUGGAGGGAACUCUGAUGCAGCGACGCCGCGUGAGUGAAGAAGGUCUUCGGAUCGUAAAACUCUGUCCUUGGUGAAGAUAAUGACGGUAGCCAAGGAGGAAGCCCCGGCUAACUACGUGCCAGCCGCGGC
Molecule: ribosomal RNA, 470 nt
Filed under: uncultured bacterium
Lineage: Bacteria
Description: bacterial SSU rRNA
Rfam family: Bacterial small subunit ribosomal RNA
Source: RNAcentral